RNAcentral lists this long non-coding RNA (6597 nucleotides) under Ananas comosus (pineapple). RNAcentral describes it as "long non-coding RNA (ACOM_LNC004734)". Lineage: Eukaryota; Viridiplantae; Streptophyta; Magnoliopsida; Poales; Bromeliaceae. The record is from RNAcentral.
CUUUUUUAUAAAACAAUCCUCUCAAAUUUUAAAAUUUGCGAAAAAACCCACUCAAAAUUUUAUUUGUAGAACUAAUCCUCUUUUCGCCACGUCGGCGCCACGUCAUAAUUUCUUUUAAAGACGGUGAAUCAUUCACCCUGUUUUCCCAAUUCUUUUAAAGACGGUGAAUCGUUCACCGCGUUCUCCCAUUUCUUUUAAAGGCGGUGAAUCAUUCACCGUUUUCUCCCAUAAUUUAUUUACUGUUAUUUUCUAUAUUCUAUAUAUAAUCCUAACAACCACAUAAAAAUUCUAACAAAUUACAUAUAAUCUUAACAACCUUUAAAUCCUAAUAAUUUAUCUAUAUAAUUUCAUAUAAUCUUAACUGCCUUUAUAUGAAAUUAUAUGGAUAAAUUAUUAGGAUUUAAAAGUUGUUAAGAUUAUACGGGAUAUAGAAAGAAACAGUAAAUAAGUGAAAGGCGGUGAAUGAUUUAUCGUUUUUAAAAGAAAUGGGAGAAAGCGGUGAACGAUUCAUCGUCUUUAAAAGAAAUAAAAGAGAACGGCGAACGAUUCACCGUCUUUGUAAGAAAAUCCUGACGUGGCGCCUAUGUGGCGAAAGGAGGGUUAAUUUUACAAAUAAAAUUUUUACAUGAUUAUUUUGCCAAUUAUAAUUUUUUAGAGGGUCAUUUUAUAAAAAAGUCCUGUGUACACACAUCCAAACGAGGCGGAUCCGGGGUGAGAGAGGUCCCUAGAUCCGCUCCAUUUCUUUACGGAUUGCGACAGAAGUAAAUUUUUGACGAAUCGAGACAGAUUAAAAAGAUAAAAAGGGCUUAUUGCCUCCCGCUUUAUUUACUCGGUGGAUUAGGCUAGAUUUGGACCGAAUUAUAUUUUCCUAAUAUUUUUAGUUCACACUUAUUACUUUAUUUGGGAUGAAUCAUAGCAGAAGCUCCUACGAGAGAGUUGCUUUAAGCGCAGGAAUGUAAACGACCUUGAUCGGUGGAGAUCACGUUUCAGUCCAUUCUAAACGGGGUGAUAAGUGAGAACUAAAAAUAAAAAAUAAAAAAAAAAAUCUUGAACCAGUAGGAAAUGAAGUGAGAAGCAGAAACCCUUUAUCUCCAUUGAUUUAUCUUAUCUUGAUUCGUUAAAAAAUCGUCAAAAAUCAAUUCCAAAUGCAAUACGUCAGAGUAAAAAUAAAAUAUAAUAUAAUUUAUCUUGAAUCCGCUUAUAUCCAGGGCCCCUCUGGACCCACCCCAUUUGCUUCUCUGUUUAGUAAUAGGAUGAGUACUUUUUGGGUUUGACUUUUUUUAGUCUAAAUCCAGGGACUAAUUAAGUUUAUAAUAAUAAUAAUAAUAAUUAGUUUAUUAAAAUUUUAGGUUUUUUUUCAAAUAGCCCCCUGAUAAAUUUUAUUUGCAAAAAUAGUCCCAUCCAAAAAUUAUUUACAAAAAUGGCUCUGCCCCUGCCACGCCAGCGCCACGUCAGCGCCACGCGGGCAGGGCGGGCCCAGAUGUUUAAGUUGAACACGGUGAAUCAUUCACCGUGUUCAAUACAAGAUUUUUGUAUUGGACACGGUGAAUGGUUCACCGUGUCCAAUACAAAUAUCCCAACAAUGGCUAAGUUGGAGGUAUUUGUAUUAGACACGGUGAUUCAUUCACCGUGUCCAAUUAUUUGUAUUGGACACGGUGAAUGGUUCACCGUGUCCAAUACAAAUAUUUCGAUCUUAGCUAUUUCAUUCACCGUGUCCAAUAUAAAAACUUUGUAUUGAACACGGUGAAUGAUUCACCGUGUUCAACUUAACCAUCUGGCCCAGCUCCGUCCGCGUGGCGCUGACGUGGCGCUUGCGUGGCGGGGUCAGGGUCAUUUUUGUAAAUAAAUUUUUGACAGGGCUAAAUUUUAAAAAAAAAAAUUGUAAAGGGGCUAUUUGCAAAAAAAGCCCUAAAAUUUUAGUUGGACGGUCCCAUUGCCCAGUGUGAGUCCAUCCAGUCCACCGUUCACACAGUUUUGAGAUUCGCACUGCUAUUGUGAUGGAUGGUGGAUUGGAUCAUCUCAUGAUGGUGACAUAUUUUCACCAAAUUUUCUAUAUUUCUAAAAUAUUCAUAAACUUAACUUUAGAAUUUGUUAUUAAUUACAAAUACAUUAAUAAUAUAUUAAUAUUAAUAUUAAAGGUGAUUUUAUUAAAGAGGUAAAGCCUAAAGCAGUAUCUUUUCUUAAAAAAAAUGAUUAAAAUUCAUAUGAACUGUGCUGGCAUUAAUUAUACAUAAAAUUUUGAAUUAUAUAGAUUUUCUUUAUAUAUUAUAAGCAAAGUAUAACAACAAUAGUUUGGAUUAUCUAAUUAAAUAUAAGUUAUAUAGAGAUAUAUUUGACUAAACUAAUAAUUAGAAGAUCAUUUAAGCGUGGCAAAAGAUGUAGGGAGAAAGUGUGCGGCGAAUCACACGCAAGAGAUCCGAAAGAGUAGUGUGGAAUGAUUCAGCCACAAUAAAUUAUUAUUUAGAAAAAAUAAUAAUUUAUUGUGGAUUCCUAUAUUUUAUUCCGACAUGAUUUUGAUUGAAUAUAACAAUUAAAAAUAGAAAAAAAAAUUAAAUAGUAGCACUGUAGUUUUGUACUUUUUCACUUUCUUUUUCUGUAGUUUAGAGAGUAUCACUUUCGUAUUAUGUAGUUUUAUUUUUUUCUUUUUGUUAUUUCAUCCACUAAUUUUUUUCAUUAAAUCAGUGAUAAAGUUUAAACUAAAGAAUACUAAAGUAAAUAUUUGAUAAACAAUAGGCGAGGUAUUUGAAGUUUUUUUUUAUAUGAUUUAACGAAAAGUUAAUGGAGGGAUUGAGAAAAAAAAAAUUUGAAAACACAGGGUACUAAAUUUAUACACUUUAAAGCACAAGGUAUUAAAGUGAAAAAGUACGAAACUAUAUAAGUGGUAUUUGAAGUUUAUCCUUAAAAAUAUUGUGUUUUCAAAUUUUUUUUUUCUCAAUCCCUCCAUUAACUUUUCGUUAAAUCAUAUAAAANAUAUAAGUGGUAUUUGAAGUUUAUCCUUAAAAAUAUUGUGUUUUGAUACUAAGUAUAUAAAAUAAUUGUUAUUCUUAAAAAAAAUUAACUCUUAGAAAAAAAAAAAAAGAUUUUCAAGUCCGAGUCUCAUCGAAUUUAUAACGCUAUUUAAUUUCUUCCAACUUAAUUUAAGUCUGUAAAUAUUUUGUACCUAUCAAAAAUUUCGAAUUCAGAUGUGAAAAAUAAUAUUAAAUAAUAAAAGAAAUAUUAUUCUCUGCUAAUCUAAAGAUUUGAAGAACAAUUAUUAUUUUACAUAAUUUAACGAAAUGGCGUAAAUUCGACAAUAAUUCGCAUCAGAUAGUUGUUAUUUUUGUCAUGAAAACAAAUUAAGACCCAAAAUAAAAUCUACGUACCAUCGGUACUGGUCACCUCUCUAACAAGGGCAAAAAAAAAAUUCUUUACAAUGAGGGUAUUUUGGUAAAUUUCUAUUCUUAUAACAUAUCAUUUUUGUAAAAUAUUCCAUUCACUCCGAUGGAAAGUUUUCACCCGGGCCACAAUCAUCUUCUCCGAAGUUAUUUUUUCUUUUUCUUUUUUUCAUUCACUCUGAUGGAAACUUUUCACCCAGGCCACAAUAAUUAAUUUAAAGUUAAUUUUCAAACAUAGAAUCAUUCAGUUUAAAUAGUUAACAAAUUUUAUUUUUUUAACUAUAACAUAAACUAAAUCUAAAUUUAAAAUUUAAUUUUAAUCAAUAUUUUUGAACUUUAAUGUUGUUUUUACUAUCGAAUGAACAAUUUGAAUUUAAUUUUAAAUAUAGAAGCCUUUAAUUUAAAUAAAAAAUAAAAUUUAUGUUUAUAAAUACAACAUAAUUUACAAUUUAAAAUAAGUUAAUAGCAUUGAAAUUUCGUGUCAUUUUAAUAUCAAAUUAACAAUUCAAAUUGAAAUAUACUAUUCAUUUAAACAUAAAUUUUUUCAUUCUGAAAAUCAAAAGUAAAAUUAAAUUUGAAUUUAAUGUACACAAUUAUAAAGUUUAAGCUCAAAUUGAUUUUUAAAUUCAAUUUUAUAAAAAUUUAUUACUUAUCAAAUUAGCACUAUCUAAUUUGGUAAGUAACAAAAUUAAACUAGGAAACAAAUAUUUGUGUUGGGUUGAUCAAAUUUGGUAAUUGGCUUGUAUUUCUUUUCCCAUAUUACCUUUACGAAUGGUAACCUGUUGAGCAGAUAACUACUAAGCAAAAGACAAUCUCGCCCUUAAGUUUUGAACGGCUAGAUUUAAUUUAUUUGGUGUAUUGAAGCAUUCCUCAAUUAAAAUAUACAUACAAAUAAAAUUUUCAAAACUACAACAAUUAUAUUGGAGUUGACUUAACUAUCAUAUAUUUAUUAUACGUAACGUAAUCCCUUUAAAAUUCUAUGUAGAGUUUUAGACUCUUUGAACAUGAAGAUUCCUACAAAAGAGUCGGCCAUUUAUACGUAAGUAUCUCCGAGAGAGGAAUAUUUAGAAACGUUCCAAAGAAAUAAGGCUAAAUUAAGAUCAUAGUGGGACCUUUUUAGUAGAUACCUAUCCUAUUAUACUUUAAGCUUAUUUACACAAAUAAUCAAUGUAAUAAAAAACCAUUUUAACACUAAAUCGAAAGGAAAACAAAGACAAAAUGAAAACUAAAGAAACAGAAAAGAAAAGUAUGGAAUCAGCUCUCUCUCUGUGUGAAUAGAUUUAAAUCACAAUUGAUGUGGAUGUGUCGAAAGCGAAGUUUCAAUUGUGGAUGUAUCGAAAGCGAUUUUUUCUAUAAUUUUAUAUGGGCGUAACUUGUACAACGAGCUGAUGGUUUCCUACUUAUCGGAUUUAUUUUCUGCGAUUCAGGGACGACAAAAAUCAAAUUUUGGAUAGUGAAAAAAAAAAAAAAAAAACUGAAAGGGAGAGAGAGAGAAGUCGACAGUGGACCUCUCUCAUGUGGUCCACAAGGUGGAACGGACCUCGUGGACCGCGUGCUUUUGUUCCCUAAUGCGGCGUGCGCAAUGCUGCAUGUUUUUUUUCUUUUUCGCUCAAAGAGAGCGAAAAACGAAAACCCUCUUUUUUCUUACAAUCUAUAAAAAAAAAUUUCGAAAAUUUUUUUUUUUACAAGCAAUCAAAUAUCAAAACCUUACAUUCAACUGGAAAAAAAAAAAAAAAAAUACGAGGAACUAAACACACCCUUACUGAAUUUCACUAGAUUCGAUAUGAAUUAUUUUAUUUUGUGUUUAGAAAAAAAUAAUUAUUUGUUAAUAUAUACGACUUCUCUGCGUGGGGGAAAAAAGUAAUCAAUAAAUUCUAGAAUAAGCGCUCCAUAAUAAUAAUAAUAAUAAUAAUAAUAAAGACUUUUCUUGUAAUUUUUUUUUUUCCAUGGAGGAAGAUUGUGACAUUAUCAGCAAUUCAGUAUUUACUUAAUUCAACAAAUCAGGCCUGCAGAAUCUUCUAAUAAGAUUGAUGUAUAUUUCGCGCAGUCUCAAUCCUACAGCUAGCAUGAUAAAACAUAGAAAAGACACUUCGAUAAUCUAAUAUCUGUAAAAUGAUCAAUUAUUUUAAAAAUUUUAAGCUGUUAGCUAAUAAUGUUUAGUCGUCACAUAUAUGACAUCUAGUAUGUAUAAAUAGUUACUAGCAUAGUAACCCGCGGGAUACGACGGAUAGAUAAUUGAAAAAUAAACGGUGAUGAAAAAAACAAAAAACAGUUGAAGAAAGAUGAAAAGGAAGGACUUGAGCUGGUUCGGAAUAGAUCCGUAUUCAAUAAUAAAGAAAAAAUUGUCAUGCGGCAACUUUAGAAAAAAUAAUGUAUAGAAAUAUAGAUAUAAAUGUAGAUGACAACUAAAUUGACACGAAUAAAAUAAAAUCUAAAUUAAAUAUGGAGAAAUGGCACCAUACAAUUCUGUUUAUGAUGAUAUGGUGUAGUGUAUGUAACUGUUAGUAUAUUCUGAGACAUUAACCAAUCAAUGUAAGUGCAUGGCAUUUAUUAAUGGAUCUGUUACUUUAAUAUUGCUCAGCUACAUCAUGUGAUGGACCACUCAACUGCAAUAAAUGCAAACUUCUUUUUCUCUUCUAAAAGUGUGAACUCUACCUUUAAGAUUAGUGUGAAGAAUAAAACUGAUAAGAGCUGUCAUGAAAAUGACAGGUGCUUCAGCAAUUUGAAAUUUCAAUUCCAUUUAAAUAAUCUGACACUACAACAUAAUUGAAUUAUAGAGACACAUCUUUCAAAUACUUUUAUAUAAAUAUUUUAUUUAUGUCAAUUUUUUUAAAAAAAAUCUAAUAAUGUCUAAAUAUAAAGUCCAAUCCAAAUAAAAAUAAAAAGUUUCUCUAUUCCACCAACCACACCCAGCUCACUCGGCCCAAUUACAAAUAAAAAAGAAAAAAUAAAAAAAAAAUUGAUCACCAUCUCUCCUUCUCCUCCUCCGCCACCGUAGCCGACGAGGGAGGAUUUCGACAGUUGGAGUUCGGCCGCGAGGAUUUCGUAGGGACCGUAGAGAGCCACGAUCACCACGUAUUCCUCCGCCACAGGUCGCUAAAAGAAUGGGUGCCAAAUAUUAAAGCGGCACUACCUAUAGCGACUUCACAUAUAACAACACUUUUAAAAAGUGUCGGUAAUUUAGAGAUUUUUCUUGUAUUUUUUUUUUAUUGUGACAUUAUCA